UGUUUAACCGAUGGGGUGACACAGAAGGAUAGGGAAUCGCACGAAUGGAAAUGUGCGUCCAAGCAGUGAGUGUGAGAAGUAGGCAAAUCCGCUUCUCACGAAGCAUGAGCUGUGAUGGGGAAGGAAAGUAAGUACGGAAGUUCCUGAUUUCACGCUGUCAAGAAAAGCCUCUAGGAAGAGUAGUACUGCCCGUACCGCAAACCGACACAGGUAGAUGAGGAGAGA
This 225-nucleotide ribosomal RNA is filed under the name Listeria monocytogenes. RNAcentral describes it as "partial 23S ribosomal RNA". It matches the Rfam family "Bacterial large subunit ribosomal RNA", at positions 1454 to 1677 of the family's 2925-position model. The record is from RNAcentral. Lineage: Bacteria; Bacillati; Bacillota; Bacilli; Caryophanales; Listeriaceae.